RNAcentral lists this ribosomal RNA (405 nucleotides) under uncultured bacterium. RNAcentral describes it as "bacterial SSU rRNA". It matches the Rfam family "Bacterial small subunit ribosomal RNA", at positions 355 to 776 of the family's 1533-position model. The record is from RNAcentral.
UAAAGAAUCUUCCACAAUGGGCGAAAGCCUGAUGGAGCGACACCGCGUGCAGGAUGACGGCCUUCGGGUUGUAAACUGCUUUUCUGGGGGAAGAAUUAUGACGGUACCCUAGGAAUAAGCACCGGCUAAUUCCGUGCCAGCAGCCGCGGUAAUACGUAGGGUGCGAGCGUUGUUCGGAAUUACUGGGCGUAAAGGGCGCGCAGGCGGAAUAGCAAGUCGGAGGUGAAAGCCCGGGGCUCAACCCCGGAGGGUCUUUCGAAACUGCUAAUCUAGAGAGGGUCAGGGGCCAGCAGAAUUCUUGGUGUAGAGGUGAAAUUCGUAGAUAUCAAGAGGAAUACCGGUGGCGAAAGCGGCUGGCUGGGGCCACUCUGACGCUGAGGCGCGAAAGCGUGGGGAGCAAACAGG